RNAcentral lists this ribosomal RNA (206 nucleotides) under uncultured bacterium. RNAcentral's name for it is "partial 16S ribosomal RNA". It matches the Rfam family "Bacterial small subunit ribosomal RNA", at positions 1295 to 1500 of the family's 1533-position model. The record is from RNAcentral.
GGAUUGCAGGCUGAAACCCGCCUGCAUGAAGUUGGAAUUGCUAGUAAUCGCGGAUCAGCAUGCCGCGGUGAAUACGUUCCCGGGCCUUGUACACACCGCCCGUCACACCAUGAGAGUCGGGAACACCCGAAGUCCGUAGUCUAACCGCAAGGAGGGCGCGGCCGAAGGUGGGUUCGAUAAUUGGGGUGAAGUCGUAACAAGGUAAC